AGUUUGAUCAUGGCUCAGGAUGAACGCUAGCGGGAGGCCUAACACAUGCAAGCCGAGCGGUAGAGAUUCUUCGGAAUCUUGAGAGCGGCGUACGGGUGCGGAACACGUGUGCAAACCUACCUUUAUCUGGAGGAUAGCCUUUCGAAAGGAAGAUUAAUGCUCCAUAAUAUAUUGAUUGGCAUCAAUUGAUAUUGAAAGCUCCGGCGGAUAGAGAUGGGCACGCGCAAGAUUAGUUAGUUGGUGAGGUAACGGCUCACCAAGACGAUGAUCUUUAGGGGCCUGAGAGGGUGAUCCCCCACACUGGUACUGAGACACGGACCAGACUCCUACGGGAGGCAGCAGUGAGGAAUAUUGGUCAAUGGGUGCAAGCCUGAACCAGCCAUCCCCGCGUGAAGGACGACUGCCCUAUGGGUUGUAAACUUCUUCUGUAUAGGGAUAAACCUACCCUCGUGAGGGUAGCUGAAGGUACUAUACGAAUAAGCACCGGCUAACUCCGUG
Molecule: ribosomal RNA, 498 nt
Filed under: uncultured bacterium
Lineage: Bacteria
Description: bacterial SSU rRNA
Rfam family: Bacterial small subunit ribosomal RNA
Source: RNAcentral